UUUUCUAUUUACAGCGAAUGACAAUCCUGAUAACUCCUAUACUGAAGCCCCAUCAGGUUGCUGGCUAUAUGGUAACAGAGCAAUCAUAUCCCAUGGAUGAUAAAUAUGCUAGUAAUUCAGAAAUGGGGACACAGACAUGCAGCGAUCUUGAUCCUGAUAAUCCUCCCCCACCGUAUGGAGAAAAGGGAUCAACUGUUAAUGGGUCCUCUCAGCAGAGUAAACCUUGUACUGUGUAUGCUACUAGUCUGUAACAUCAUUAGUCACGUCUCUCAGUCGGGCAAACCUUGUACACCACUAUAAGUCUGUAACUGCAUUCACACAUGGCUCUUAACUCUUUUUCUAAUGGUGGUAGCUACGCUGGAUAUCACAAGAUGCUUCCCAUCUUCAUAUUCCUGUGCUUUACUCGUCAUUUCACUACUCCACAAUGGUGACACCAUUAACUGAAUUAUGCAUUUAUACUUGUAUUUAUGUUGUUAAAAUUCCUCCAAGAGGAAUUGAACACCGCUAUAACGAAUUGCUGUAAGCAAAAAGUAACCCUGCUCCUCCAUGUCACAUCAUAUUGUCUGUAAACUGAUUCUAUCACCUGUUGUGGGGAAAAAUGUUUGAGAAACUGCACUACAAUAUUAUGACAUUAAUUUGCUUUUUAAAUUGUGAUUUUAAUUAUAAUCUAUUUAAUCACAGACAAAAGCAUAAUCCUUGAGGUCUAUGACAAGACUAACAUGAAAUAAGUAAACAUACAAUAUGAAUAAAAAUAUCUACAUAUUUGUUUAAUAAUGGGUGAAUUUAAAUAUUUGUCAUUAUUACUGGAAGUUAUUUUUAAAAAUAGAUCUGUAUUCAUUUGAGGUAUAUGUACAAAUGUCAUACACUUUUUGAAUGAUUUUGAUACAUUUAACAAAAAUAUUUAUGUUUUUGGUCACUGGGCUGUUAGCUUAAAUUUUGUGUGUCACAGCAAAAUUCUGUUUAUGAAAAAUAAUUUCAUAAUUUCUGAAAAUAUAAAGCAGCACACAAGCAUCAAUGAAUUGACCAGAAAUAUUUUUAUCAUAAUUUCUCGUGGUUUGACUUGUAGGAAAGUCUUAUAAUUCAUAGUCAGCAACUUGCUCUUCAUAAUUGCUGUUUAUACAUUUCGAGAAAUUCACAUUUUCAAUGAAUAAUCUUGUAUCAUCUUACCGCAUUUUGUAAGUUUUUUUUUUUUACAUUUUCUAAUAAAAUAUUCGUACU
Saccoglossus kowalevskii is the source of this 1218-nucleotide long non-coding RNA. NCBI's taxonomy places the organism in Eukaryota, Metazoa, Hemichordata, Enteropneusta, Harrimaniidae. The record is from RefSeq and is a predicted model, not a curated record.